RNAcentral lists this non-coding RNA (30 nucleotides) under Mus musculus (house mouse). Lineage: Eukaryota; Metazoa; Chordata; Mammalia; Rodentia; Muridae. The record is from RNAcentral.
UCAUGAACAUAUUGAGCUGGUUGACCAAAU